RNAcentral lists this ribosomal RNA (282 nucleotides) under Triticum aestivum (bread wheat). Its description in RNAcentral is "partial small subunit ribosomal RNA". The record is from RNAcentral. Lineage: Eukaryota; Viridiplantae; Streptophyta; Magnoliopsida; Poales; Poaceae.
CUUACGAGCUUGAGCUUGUUGAGCGCGUCGCCGUGCAGCGGCGUCCCCGUGCCGCCACAUUCUCGGAGGACCUCCUCCCUGAGCUUCUGCUGCCAUUCGGGGUGUGUGCCGAGGAGGAAGAUAGCCCAGGUGAGGAGGUGCGCGGUGGUGUCGUGCCCGGCGAAGAAGAAGGUCUUGCACUCGUCGAUGAUGUCGUCCAUGCUCAUGGCGGCAACCUUCUGCCCGCCUGCUCCGGCCGACGUGUUGGCCUCGAGCAUCAGACCAAGCAAGUCGUUGCCGUAG